This 492-nucleotide ribosomal RNA is filed under the name uncultured bacterium. RNAcentral's name for it is "partial 16S ribosomal RNA". It matches the Rfam family "Bacterial small subunit ribosomal RNA", at positions 29 to 507 of the family's 1533-position model. The record is from RNAcentral.
AGUGAACGCUGGCGGUAGGCCUAACACAUGCAAGUCGAACGGCAGCACAGUAAGAGCUUGCUCUUACGGGUGGCGAGUGGCGGACGGGUGGGGAAUACAUCGGAAUCUACUUUUUCGUGGGGGAUAACGUAGGGAAACUUACGCUAAUACCGCAUACGACCUACGGGUGAAAGCAGGGGAUCUUCGGACCUUGCGCGAUUGAAUGAGCCGAUGUCGGAUUAGCUAGUUGGCGGGGUAAAGGCCCACCAAGGCGACGAUCCGUAGCUGGUCUGGGAGGAUGAUCAGCCACACUGGAACUGAGACACGGUCCAGACUCCUACGGGAGGCAGCAGUGGGGAAUAUUGGACAAUGGGCGCAAGCCUGAUCCAGCCAUACCGCGUGGGUGAAGAAGGCCUUCGGGUUGUAAAGCCCUUUUGUUGGGAAAGAAAAGCAGCAGGUUAAUACCCCGCUGUUCUGACGGUACCCAAAGAAUAAGCACCGGCUAACUUCGUG